RNAcentral lists this transfer RNA (67 nucleotides) under Arytainilla spartiophila (broom psyllid). RNAcentral's name for it is "tRNA-Ile". The record is from RNAcentral. Lineage: Eukaryota; Metazoa; Arthropoda; Insecta; Hemiptera; Psyllidae.
UAGAAGAAUGCCUGAGUUAAAAAGGAUUAUUUUGAUGUAAUAAAUUACGUUUUUUAAAACUUUUUCU